UACAGAGGUCCCGAGCGUUGUUCGGAUUCACUGGGCGUAAAGGGUGCGUAGGCGGCGCGGUAAGUCGGGUGUGAAAUCUCGGAGCUUAACUCCGAAACUGCAUUCGAUACUGCCGUGCUUGAGGACUGGAGAGGAGACUGGAAUUUACGGUGUAGCGGUGAAAUGCGUAGAUAUCGUAAGGAAGACCAGUGGCGAAGGCGGGUCUCUGGACAGUUCCUGACGCUGAGGCACGAAGGCCAGGGGGAGCAAACGGG
This 254-nucleotide ribosomal RNA is filed under the name uncultured bacterium. RNAcentral's name for it is "partial 16S ribosomal RNA". It matches the Rfam family "Bacterial small subunit ribosomal RNA", at positions 524 to 776 of the family's 1533-position model. The record is from RNAcentral.